Molecule: ribosomal RNA, 253 nt
Filed under: uncultured bacterium
Lineage: Bacteria
Description: partial 16S ribosomal RNA
Rfam family: Bacterial small subunit ribosomal RNA
Source: RNAcentral
UACAGAGGUCUCAAGCGUUGUUCGGAUUCAUUGGGCGUAAAGGGUGCGUAGGCGGUGGGGCAAGUCAGGUGUGAAAUCCCGGAGCUCAACUCUGGAACUGCACUUGAUACUGGCAGACUGGAGUACAGUAGAGGCAAGCGGAAUUCCCAGUGUAGCGGUGAAAUGCGUAGAUAUUGGGAAGAACACCGGUGGCGCAAGCGGCUUGCUGGGCUGUAACUGACGCUGAGGAACGAAAGCUAGGGUAGCGAAUGGG